CCUACGGGUGGCAGCAGUGGGGAAUAUUGCACAAUGGGGGAAACCCUGAUGCAGCAACGCCGCGUGAAGGAAGACGGUUUUCGGAUUGUAAACUUCUGUUCUUAGUGAAGAAUAAUGACGGUAGCUAAGGAGCAAGCCACGGCUAACUACGUGCCAGCAGCCGCGGUAAUACGUAGGUGGCAAGCGUUGUCCGGAAUUACUGGGUGUAAAGGGAGCGUAGGCGGGACUGCAAGUUGGGUGUCAAAUCUACCGGCUCAACCGGUAGCCGCACUCAAAACUGCAGUUCUUGAGUGAAGUAGAGGCAGGCGGAAUUCCUAGUGUAGCGGUGAAAUGCGUAGAUAUUAGGAGGAACACCAGUGGCGAAGGCGGCCUGCUGGGCUUUUACUGACGCUGAGGCUCGAAAGUGUGGGGAGCAAACAGGAUUAGAUACCCUAGUAGUC
RNAcentral lists this ribosomal RNA (440 nucleotides) under uncultured bacterium. Its description in RNAcentral is "partial 16S ribosomal RNA". It matches the Rfam family "Bacterial small subunit ribosomal RNA", at positions 338 to 795 of the family's 1533-position model. The record is from RNAcentral.